This 374-nucleotide ribosomal RNA is filed under the name uncultured bacterium. RNAcentral describes it as "partial 16S ribosomal RNA". It matches the Rfam family "Bacterial small subunit ribosomal RNA", at positions 338 to 729 of the family's 1533-position model. The record is from RNAcentral.
ACUACGGGUGGCAGCAGUGGGGGAUAUUGCACAAUGGGGGAAACCCUGAUGCAGCGACGCCGCGUGAGUGAAGAAGUAUUUCGGUAUGUAAAGCUCUAUCAGCAGGGGAGUAAAUGCCAGUACCUGACCAAGAAGCCCCGGAUAACUACGUGCCAGCAGCCGCGGUAAUACGUAGGGGGCCAGCGGUAUCCGGAUUUACUGGGUGUAAAGGGGGCGUAGGCGGUUAUGUAAGUCUGGAGGGAAUGCCCGGGGCUCAACCCCGGGACUGCUUUGGAGACUGUGUAACUGGAGUAUAGGAGGGGCAGGCGGAAUGGAUGGUGUAGCGGUGAAAUGCGUAGAUAUCAGAAGGAACACCGGCGGCGAAGGCAGCCUGC